UACGAAGGGGGCUAGCGUUGCUCGGAAUCACUGGGCGUAAAGCGCACGUAGGCGGGUCGUUAAGUCGAGGGUGAAAUCCUGGAGCUCAACUCCAGAACUGCCUUCGAUACUGGCGGCCUUUAGUCCGGGAGAGGUGAGUGGAACUGCGAGUGUAGAGGUGAAAUUCGUAGAUAUUCGCUAGAACCCCAGUGGCGAAGGCGGCUCACUGGCCCGGUACUGACGCUGAGGUGCGAUAGCGUGGGGAGCAAACAGG
RNAcentral lists this ribosomal RNA (253 nucleotides) under uncultured bacterium. RNAcentral describes it as "partial 16S ribosomal RNA". It matches the Rfam family "Bacterial small subunit ribosomal RNA", at positions 524 to 776 of the family's 1533-position model. The record is from RNAcentral.